This is a non-coding RNA of Mycena rebaudengoi, 94 nucleotides long. NCBI's taxonomy places the organism in Eukaryota, Fungi, Basidiomycota, Agaricomycetes, Agaricales, Mycenaceae. The record is from the annotation of a GenBank genome assembly.
GGCAAUGUGGCGGAGUGGUUAACGCGACAGAUUCGAAUUUCCCACGCUUAUCUGUUCCACUAUGUGGGCGCAUGUUCGAGUCAUGCCAUUGUCG